UGCAGGUUUCCUGAGCCUGAUUUUGCCUUGCAUUGAAUCCUGCCUGGAUAAACUGUCUUCUGGAAGGAAGCAAUCCAGUUCCAUGAACAAAGACUCAAGUCUCUCAUGACUUCGUUGGAUCACGCCGGCUGGCAGCCUCCUGAUUCCUGCGUACCUCGGACCUCCAUCUGCAAACCCUGUCCACUCUCCUCCCUCCAUCACACCUCGUGGAUUACAAACUCUCCUGGCUUACCAUAUCCACCAACUUCAGUCUCACCGGCAAACAACCACUUGGUUUCUCCACUCCCCCUCUGGCAGAUCCCUUCACCAUUCUUUGUUGAAAACCUUUGGUCGGCUCCCAUGCCAAGCCAGCUUCGAUCAAGCAAGCUCUGUGUUAGAUCCACCUGACAAUCCUUCCGCAGUUGCUCUCUGCAGCCUUGCACUCUCAGCAACCACCUGCCUGCAUGCUCUCCAACCAAACACCUCUCAGCCUCAGAUCCUUCUGUCUCCUCCAUAUUGGAUAACACUCUUGCAACCCAACCAUCCUUCACUCUCAGAAAUCUCUCCAGGACGUUGAGGCCCCUCCAUAAGUUAAACCACAACAUCUACACAACACCAAAGAAGCUGUAAGCUCGAGACUCCAGUUCCCUUCUCAGUAUUACCCCAUUCUUUGUAAAUAAACCUCUUACUUGAUUGUUACCCCAUUUGGUGUGUGAUUUCUGCAUGUGGGUCAGGAAGCUUCCUAGAGUCAUAAUAGUUUGGGUCAUUUUUUUUCAAUCCGUUCAGUUUUCCCUAUUCUCUGUUACAUUUGUUUGAACUGUUACGUCACAGUAUUUACCACAUAAUUUCUACAUAAGGUCAUGGAC
Molecule: long non-coding RNA, 845 nt
Organism: Girardinichthys multiradiatus
Lineage: Eukaryota; Metazoa; Chordata; Actinopteri; Cyprinodontiformes; Goodeidae
Exons: 3
Source: RefSeq, a predicted model, not a curated record